CUUGAAUGACAUCACAAUUUCCUACGGGGGGCAGCAGUGGGGAAUAUUGCACAAUGGGCGCAAGCCUGAUGCAGCCAUGCCGCGUGUGUGAAGAAGGCCUUAGGGUUGUAAAGCACUUUCAGUGGGGAGGAAAGGUGGAGGUUAAUACCCUUUGGCUGUGACGUUACCCACAGAAGAAGCACCGGCUAACUCCGUGCCAGCAGCCGCGGUAAUACGGAGGGUGCGAGCGUUAAUCGGAAUUACUGGGCGUAAAGCGUGCGUAGGCGGCCACCUAAGUUGGAUGUGAAAGCCCCGGGCUCAACCUGGGAACUGCAUCCAAAACUGGGUGGCUGGAGUACGGGAGAGGAGUGUGGAAUUUCUCGUGUAGGGGUGA
RNAcentral lists this ribosomal RNA (373 nucleotides) under uncultured Endozoicomonas sp. Its description in RNAcentral is "bacterial SSU rRNA". It matches the Rfam family "Bacterial small subunit ribosomal RNA", at positions 318 to 684 of the family's 1533-position model. Lineage: Bacteria; Pseudomonadati; Pseudomonadota; Gammaproteobacteria; Oceanospirillales; Endozoicomonadaceae. The record is from RNAcentral.